AAGAAGAGAAAGAAAAACAGCUUUCAAAGAGGGAAGAGAGGAAAAGUCAUUUGUGUUUUCUGCGUUGAAGAAGAGAGCUAAACAACUGGACGAGAAGACGCGGCGAAAAUUCAAACAUUGUACGGACGUUUCAUUCUUUCGUUGCUCUUAUUUAGAUCUGUGGACUCCUGGGAUUCCUUCUCUUUCUCCAUUUUCAAUGCGGUGACUCCCAGAAACCAUAGUGAUUACCUUCCUUUCAAAUGAUGAUGGACUUCUACUUCUAAAUUCUCGCUAAUGGAGUCUGAAACGGCGUCGUCGGUCGAUGAACAGGUCGUUGCUGCUGUUGCUUCAGUGGGUGCUGCAGCUGGAGCUGAUUCCAGAGGUAGGCAUCGGAUUCUUGCGGAGCUUAAGCGCGUUGAGCAAGAAAUCAAGUGCUUGGAGGAAGAGCUGGGGGAGCUUGAGAAUACAGAUAAUGUCUCAACAGUGUGUGAAGAAUUGCUGCUGAAUGUCAAUGUCAUACCUGAUCCAUUACUCUCAGAAACAAGUGGCUGUGUGAACCCAUUAUGGGAUCGAUGGUUUGAAGG
Molecule: unclassified non-coding RNA, 563 nt
Filed under: Hevea brasiliensis (rubber tree)
Lineage: Eukaryota; Viridiplantae; Streptophyta; Magnoliopsida; Malpighiales; Euphorbiaceae
Source: RNAcentral